CCUACGGGUGGCAGCAGUGGGGGAUAUUGCACAAUGGGGGGAACCCUGAUGCAGAGACGCCGCGUGGGUGAAGAAGAGCCUCGGCGCGGAAAGCCCUGUCAGCAGGGAAGAAAAGGACGGUACCUGAAGAAGAAGCCCCGGAUCACUACGGGCCAGGAGCCUCGGUAAUACGUAGGGGGAAAGCGUUAUCCGGCUCUACUGGGUGUAACGGGGGCGCAGACGGCGAGGCCAGCCAGGAGUGAAAGCCCGGGGCCCAACCCCGGGACUGCUCUUGGAACUGCGUGGCUGGAGUGCAGGAGGGGCAGGCGGAAUUCCUGUUGUAGCGGUCAACUGCGUAGAUAUC
This 343-nucleotide ribosomal RNA is filed under the name uncultured bacterium. Its description in RNAcentral is "partial 16S ribosomal RNA". It matches the Rfam family "Bacterial small subunit ribosomal RNA", at positions 338 to 698 of the family's 1533-position model. The record is from RNAcentral.